GCUUUGAAGAAUCUCCUCUGCUUGUCCAUGGCUUCGAUGGUAACUGCUCCUUCUCCGUCCCGGUCCGAUCCACCGCCGUCCUUUGCCGUGUUUGUUGUCGUCUUCGGAGCUUCUCCGCUGGAGCCUCCAAAGCCACCAGAUGACUCACCUCUUGCCAUAGUGCAACCCUCUACUGCAGUAUGCAGAUCUUUUACCUUUACUGCAAUAUGCAGUUCCGCUUUUGGUAUAUUCAGGGAUACAACUCCAUUUUCAGCUUAAUUGGCGUAAAGUUCAGAAGACUUCUCUACCAUAUUAGUUGCUAAUGUGUUAUGUAUGCCUACAUCUAUCUCUGUUUUUCUAUGUGCUCAGCUUUUGUUAUAGCUGUUUCUUUUACCAGUAUGGCUUUAUUGUCAAGUAUUGUGAACAUUUCUUCCUCCAAUGGAGAGUAAGAAUCUAUAAAAUGUUGUUUGAUCAAAAAAAAAAAAAAGUUAUCUCUUUCCUGUUGAAGCCACCUCAGCAUCCAGGUCAUAAAGUCGAGUUCCUACAGAUUGACACGUGUCCACUUAAAAGAAACCGUGUUUCAUUAAGUCGUAUAUGCUCAUUCGUGAUUUGGUCUUUUCGUUUAUGUUAUCUGUUGUUGUGUGUAUGGGCUGCGAAAGCAAUGGGCUACACUUAAUUUUACUAAAGGCCCGUAACCUGAAUAAGGUAAACCCUAAGCAACUCGCCAUGGUUUCCUUCUUGGUUGUUGUACGACGACUGCUCAUCUUCAUCAUCUCUACCACUGAAACGCUCCUGAUUAUUUCUUCUUUGUGUUAAUCUCUAUUAAUUCUUCAACCACGAUGUAGCCUUGAAUGCUUGCUUCGCUUUUUGGAGUCGAAGUCGGUGUAUCUGCUGAGUAUAAAUAGUCCUGACGUUGUUCUUCCACUUCCUUGCGGCUGCUCAGAUCUGUGAAGCCAGAAACAGGAGUUGACGGGAUCCUCCUUGAUGCUGAGUCAACACUCAUGCCAGUCAACGUGAAUGUCAACCGUCCUGCUCCACCGGCAUAAAGAAGGACAAAGGGUGUUGUUACGUCUCUUUCUCCAGGUGGACCAAUGAGCUUCAACGGACUGUCUCAGCCUUUACUUGCAAAACCUGCAACAAUGCUAAUGAUGGUGGUGUCCUCCGUCUAUGGAGCAUCAUCUCCCUGGCCUUCCUGCGACUCAAGUCACUAGGUUUGAUCAAACUGGCAAUGAUGACGAUGAUAUGCCUGGAAUGAACUCAGUCUCUGCUAAGGUGGACGUUGGCGGUAGUACUCUUGAGGGAGCGCCGACUACGUGAGCAGAUCCAAGUGAUCUCGACACUAAGAAGCCUCCGGCUCGAGCAUCUUUGAAGAUGGCAGAGGAAGCACGCAUGGCACAAGCGAAGAUAACGAGAGCUCUGAACGCAGUAUUUCCUAUUUGAAUAAUGCAAACAUAUCAAUGUUGCUUAACGAGUUUUUUUUUCUUCCGUUCCAUCCCUUUGG
Molecule: RNA transcript, 1480 nt
Organism: Brassica oleracea var. oleracea
Lineage: Eukaryota; Viridiplantae; Streptophyta; Magnoliopsida; Brassicales; Brassicaceae
Exons: 6
Source: RefSeq, a predicted model, not a curated record